RNAcentral lists this ribosomal RNA (253 nucleotides) under uncultured bacterium. RNAcentral describes it as "partial 16S ribosomal RNA". It matches the Rfam family "Bacterial small subunit ribosomal RNA", at positions 524 to 776 of the family's 1533-position model. The record is from RNAcentral.
UACGAAGGACCCGAGCGUUAUCCGGAUUUAUUGGGUUUAAAGGGUGCGUAGGUGGAACGGUAAGUCAGUGGUGAAAGCCUGUUGCUUAACAACAGAACUGCCAUCGAUACUGCCGAUCUUGAGUACAUAUGAUGUGGGCGGAAUGUGCCAUGUAGCGGUGAAAUGCUUAGAUAUGGCACAGAACACCGAUUGCGAAGGCAGCUCACUAAACUGUAACUGACGCUGAGGCACGAAAGCGUGGGGAGCAAACAGG